RNAcentral lists this transfer RNA (73 nucleotides) under Marmota marmota marmota (Alpine marmot). It matches the Rfam family "tRNA". From Rfam's summary of the family: Transfer RNA (tRNA) molecules are approximately 80 nucleotides in length. Their secondary structure includes four short double-helical elements and three loops (D, anti-codon, and T loops). Lineage: Eukaryota; Metazoa; Chordata; Mammalia; Rodentia; Sciuridae. RNAcentral also lists the same sequence under 3 other names. The record is from Rfam by way of RNAcentral.
UAAGGUGUAGCUCAGUGGUAGAGCCCAGAGUUUAGCAUGCAGGAGGACCUGGGUUUGAUUCCCUGCACCAAAA